UUGGCAAGGAAGGGAACAGAACAGCAGGAAUAUCCAUGCUAUGAAUGAAUGCCCAGGCAGGCCUAGCAGCCGCACCAUGAAUGCUUCUGCCUGCUUGCUGUAGAAACAUGGCCCAGCAUAUAUGCGAAAUGGAAUUAGGAGGGACACAUAGCAGUUAUUAGUGAUGAAAACGGAUCGAAUACGGACGGAUAUCAUCGAUAUCAUAUUUGUUUUCAUAUUUUUAGUCGAAUUCGGAUUCGAAUACGGAUAAUAUCAAAAAUGUCGGAUAAGAUAUGAUUGGAUAUCGACAUCAUAAAUAUACGAUUUAAGUAUUUGGAUACGGAUACGGUAUCGGAUGUUAAACAUUCGGACUCGGAUACGGAUAGAUCUGAACCUCUCUAAACGAAUUCGGUCUCGAAUACGGUCGGAAAAUAUUCGUACCGUUUUCAUCCCUAGCAGUAAUAGUGGAAAUCUUAUCAUUUCACAUCAGAUGGAUGCACAUCCUACUUCUGAUCUAUGCAUUGCAUACUCAUUUUUUUAUGGAAAUUGCAUACUUCAUUGUAAAAGUGGCGAAUUACAAUCAAGCAAUAACUAGAAACAAGAAUCAGGAACUAACUACAUCAUAGCCAAGUGGAAACAGAGGA
This 623-nucleotide long non-coding RNA is filed under the name Sorghum bicolor (sorghum). RNAcentral describes it as "long non-coding RNA (SBIC_LNC018669)". The record is from RNAcentral. Lineage: Eukaryota; Viridiplantae; Streptophyta; Magnoliopsida; Poales; Poaceae.